UGGUGAACCAGCGGAGGGAUCAUUACCGAGUUUACAACUCCCAAACCCCUGUGAACAUACCAAUUGUUGCCUCGGCGGAUCAGCCCGCUCCCGGUAAAACGGGACGGCCCGCCAGAGGACCCCUAAACUCUGUUUCUAUAUGUAACUUCUGAGUAAAACCAUAAAUAAAUCAAAACUUUCAACAACGGAUCUCUUGGUUCUGGCAUCGAUGAAGAACGCAGCAAAAUGCGAUAAGUAAUGUGAAUUGCAGAAUUCAGUGAAUCAUCGAAUCUUUGAACGCACAUUGCGCCCGCCAGUAUUCUGGCGGGCAUGCCUGUUCGAGCGUCAUUUCAACCCUCAAGCCCCCGGGUUUGGUGUUGGGGAUCGGCGAGCCCUUGCGGCAAGCCGGCCCCGAAAUCUAGUGGCGGUCUCGCUGCAGCUUCCAUUGCGUAGUAGUAAAACCCUCGCAACUGGUACGCGGCGCGGCCAAGCCGUUAAACCCCCAACUUCUGAAUGUUGACCUCGGAUCAGGUAGGAAUACCCGCUGA
This 527-nucleotide ribosomal RNA is filed under the name Fusarium oxysporum. RNAcentral describes it as "eukaryotic LSU rRNA". The stretch from base 174 to 327 matches the Rfam family "5.8S ribosomal RNA". Lineage: Eukaryota; Fungi; Ascomycota; Sordariomycetes; Hypocreales; Nectriaceae. The record is from RNAcentral.